RNAcentral lists this long non-coding RNA (5199 nucleotides) under Oncorhynchus kisutch (coho salmon). RNAcentral's name for it is "lncRNA (ENSOKIG00005028783.1)". The record is from RNAcentral. Lineage: Eukaryota; Metazoa; Chordata; Actinopteri; Salmoniformes; Salmonidae.
AUGCUCUCUCCCAAAAAAUGGAAAUGUGAACAUCAGCAGGAAAAGGAAUGUCUGGCAAGUUGCAUCAUUUCGAGAAACAAACCGUGUGAAUCCGCGUUUGCCAGUACAUUAGCAUACACAGUAUACAGAAAGACCAGCAUGCGUGCUUGUCUCCACAGUAAAAGAGAAACACAAAAAAGAGGUGAACGUUACUCUCCUCUACCCGUGACGGAGGUGUCUAGAAGAGAUGGCGCUCUAGAUGGAGGGGGCUUUGGUGAACCCUGGGGAGCAGAGGUGAAGUCCUCAGAUAGUAACCCCCAUUGUGGCCCGACUGGAAAUGCAUUCUUCCAGAGGACUUCCCCUCUCUGUGUUAGGCCCUGGGCUGGUGUGUGGGAGAAUCAGCAGGAACAGCCUCGGAGGGCAGGAGGAGAGGGUAGCACUACCCGGGAUCGGAAAACUUCUAGAAGGAGUUAAAACAAGGAGAACAACACCUUGGACAAGAUAGGCCCAUACAUGUCAGCCAGGGGAGUAAUCUACAACAGUUAUCAAAGUAUUCCUCCUAAUAUCUCCUCCAGCUUCUCCAUUACCCCCUCACCACACCCCCUCCUCACUCCCACUCCCCCUCCCAUUGUCAGCCCCCCCCCCCCCCCCCCCCGGCAAUGUGCAGCAGUGUGAUACUGAGAGAGGGCAGUUGAGCCCCACAUAAAGACCUGCCCAUAAUCUCCUCCCAUUGACAGGUCCACCUACCCCACCCACUGUGGCCAACACACACACACACAUAUAGAUGUGCACACGCUACGGCACAUCCCCACCAUGCUAUACACACCUACACACACACACACACACACAAACACCUACACACACGCACAUGUACGAAGCACACGCACACGCUACGGCACGUCUCCACCAUGCUAUACACACCUACACAUAGACACACACACACACACAAACACACACAUACUCCUAGUGAGAUGGGUUCUUUAAAGCAGGGGCCGCACCCGGAGUGACACGCUCUAUUAUAAAUAGCCUAAUCUAUAUGGUAAUACUGUUGUAUUCUACAAGCACAGAAUAGGGAUAAGAUAACAUUGUGACUUCAGGGUUCGGACUGCCUUCUAUGGUAAUUGUUAUCAAAGGUUAUUCUGGAUGACAUCGGGGCUGUGUUGUGAUUGGCUCUGGCCUGUUAUUUAUGAUAUGAAUUAUGAUAACCAUGGUGUCUCUUGUCCUCCGCCUCUCUGCCUCUCCGGCAGCCAGAUACAAUAAAUUGCUAUCGUUAAUCACCUGUUCUUUGUUCCUCCAUGAUUACCCCUCCGCCACAAUAAGAGUUUUAUUUAAGGAAGAAUAUGGAUUUGUCAUCCACAAUAUUUGAUGUCCUGACAUUUCAUUUGUUAAAGGGGACGCAGGCUGUAUUUGCAUUUUAUGACUCCCUCUCUUCUCUCUCUCUCUUUACUCACUCGCUCUUUCUCUUCUCCACUCUGCCUCUCCCACCUUCCAUCUCUCGUUUAUCCAUACGGUGUAGGUGUCAUUAGUGUAUUAGGUAAGGGAAGCAGGGACAUAUAGGAGAGAAACAGAGGUGAUGGAUGUUGUCUGGGCUCCCUAGUGGCGCAGCGGUCUAAGGCACUGCAUCUCAGUGCUAGAGGCGUCUCUACAGACCCUGGUUUGAUUCCAGAUCACAAUCGGCCGUUGAUCACAAGUGAUUGCGAUUCCAAGCUCUGUCUAGUUGAUUGUUGAUCAUUGCUAGACAGCCAUUUUCAAGUCUUGCCAUAGAUCUUUAAGCCAAUUUAAGUCGAAACUGUAAUGAGGCCACUCAGGAACAUUCAAUGUUGUCUUGGUAAGCAACUCCAGUGUAGAUUUGGCUUUGUGUUUUAGGUUAUUAACCUGCUGACAGGUGGAUUUGUCUCCAAGUAUCUGUUGGAAGGCAGACUGAAACAGGUUUUCCGCAAGGAUUUUGCCUGUGCUUACCCCUAUUCCGUUUCUUUUUAUCCUAAAUAACUCCCUAGUCCUUGCCGAUGACAAGCAGACCCCUAACAUGAUGCAGCCACCACCAUGCUUGAAAAUAUGAAGAGUGUUACUCAGAGAUGUGUUGUGUUGGAUUUGCCCCAAACAUAACGCUAUUCAGGACAUAAAGCUCAUUUGCUGUUUUUUUGCAGUUUUACUUUACUGCCUUCUUGCAAUCAAGAUGCAUGUUUUGGAAUAUUUUUAUGCUGUACAUUUUUAUGCUUCCUUCUUUUCACUCUGUCAUUUAGGUUAGUAUUGCAGAGUAACUAUAAUGUUGUUGAUUCAUCCUCAGUUUUCUUCUAUCACAGCCAUUAAACUCUAUAACUGUUUUAAAGUCACCAUUGGCCUCAUGGUGAAAUCCCUGAGCGGUUUGGUUCCUUUCCAGAAACUGAGUUAGGAAGGACGCCUGUAUCUUUGCAGUGACUGGAUGUAUUGAUACACCAUCCAAAGUAUAAUUAAUAACUUCACCAUGGUCAAAGUGUCACGCCCUGACCUAAGUUCCUUGUUUAUAUCUCUAUUUUGGUUUGGUCUGGGUGUGAGUUGGGGUGGGCAUUCUGUGUUGUUUUUCUAUGUUUUCUUUUCUAUGUGGUUGGCCUGGUAUGGUUCCCAAUCAGAGGCAGCUGUCUAUCGUUGUCUCUGAUUGAGAACCAUACUUAGGUAGCCUUUUCCCACCUGGUGUUUGUGGGUAGUUGUUUCCUGUUUUGUGUUUUCACCUUUCAGGACUGUUUCGAUUUUCAUUUCUUACAUUCACUUUGUUAUUUUGUAUUUUUCGUGUUCUGUUAUAAUAAAUAAUCAUGGAGACUUACCACGCUGCGCUUUGGUCCGAUCCUUCCUACUCCUCAUCCGAUGAAGAAGAAGAUCGUUACACAAAGGGAUAUUCAAUGUCUGCUUUUGAUUUAUUUUCUACCCAUCUACCAAUAGGGGACCUUUGCGAAGCAUUGGAAACAUCCCUGGUCUUUGUGGUUGAAUCUGUGUUUGAAAUUCACUGCUCGACUGAGGGACCUUACAAUUGUCUGUAUCUGUUGGGUACAGAGUUGAGGUCAAAAAUCAUGUUAAACACUAUUAUUGCACCCAUGCAACUUAUUAUGCGACUUGUUAAUCCAGGUUUUACUCCUGAACUUAUUUAGGCUUGCCAUAACAAAGGGGUUGAAUACCUAUUGACUCAAGGCAUUUCAGCUUUUGCUUUUUAAUUAAUUUAUAAACAUUUCUCAAAACAACAUUUCCCUUUGACAUUUCGGUGUCUCGGCUCCUCUCCUUGUCCGGGCGGCGUUCGGCGGUCGAUGUCACCGGCUUUCUAGCCAUCACCGCUCCAUUUCUCAUUUGUUUUGUCUUGUUCCAUUACACACCUGGUUUUCAUUCCAUAAUUACUGCAUGUAUUUCGUCCUCUGUUCCCCAUCAUGUCUUCGUGUGUAAUUGUUUAUUGUUAUGUGGAUUCUGUCAGGCGCUAUACUUUUACCAUGUUCUGUGUUUUUGACAUGUUAUUGUUCUUAUGUGCUGUCAUUUCUGGAACGGAAUUAAAGUGUGCCUGUUUACACUCUGCUCUCCUGCACCUGAAUCCACCUCUCGUACCCCUGACAUUCGGGGUAUUGUGUGUCAGGCCAGUGACACAAAAUCUCAAUGUAAUCCAUUUUAAAUUCAGGCUUUAACACAACGUGGGUAGGGUAGGUCUAACUGGGAGAUAAAUGUUUUGUAGUGUAGCUAUUUCCUCUUCCUGUUUGGCUGGUGCCAGGCGAGCCACCCUGCUGCCACUGAGGAAUGUGGAUAAUGUGGUUGGCCCUAGGCACCAAGAACAGAGCACAGAGACAUUAAACACACACACACACCAUACACACCAUACACACACAUACACAUAUGCACACCCAUUCCACCAACGGGAAGAAACUAUAACAACAUGUAAACAUAACAGGAAUAGACGUCUUCAAAGACAUAACCCUCUGGAAAUGACUUUGAAUGACUUUGACCUUGUUGGCUUUAUUCUACUCAAACACACUUAAACAAACACACACGAAAACACACACGAAAACACACACACACACACACACACACACACACACACACACACACACACACACACACACACACACACACACACACAUACACACACACACACACACACACACACACACACACACACACACACACACACACACACACACACACACACACACACACACACACACACACACACACACACACACAGUAGGCCCUUUCCCUCUCAGAUCCACCUUCCUCUCACUUGCCUGACCUUCCAGUCCGGGGGGAUGGAAAGAGCAGGAGCACUGUGGAACCUUGGGCUGCGAGUUAUGCAGGACUGAGCUUUGAAUAAUUGUCCCGCAAUAUGAGUGUCUCUGAUUAAUUGCCUGAGAUAAGGUCUGCUUUCCUCCCCCUGCCUGCCCCUUCCUCCCCCCUUAGGCCCCCCUGCCUGCCUGAGCUCUAAUAAUCAGCCCUGGGUACUGGGAGACAGAGAGAUGGAGGGAAGGAGAGAGGGGAGCAGGGGAAGAAACAGGAUUGAGAAAGGGAAAGAGAGAAAGUGAGGGAGACAGAGAGAGGUCAUGGAGAGAAAGAGAGAGAGUGAGAGCAAGAGGAGAGAGAGUAGAGAGAUAUGGUAGUGGAGCAGAGAGAGCGAGAGGAAAGAGUAGAAAGAGAUAGUGGUGGAACAGAGAGAGGUAAAGAGAGAGAGGAGAAAGUAGAAAUAGAGAUCAUGGUGGAGCAGAGAGAGAGAGGGGAAGAGAGUAGAACGCAAGAUAGUGGUGGAGCAAAGAGAGACAGAGGGAAGAGAGUAGAAAGAGAGAUAGUGGUGAAACAGAGAGAGGGAAGGAGAGAGAGGAGAGAGUAGAAAUAGAGAUCAUGGUGGAGCAGAGAGAGAGAGGGGGAAGAGAGUAGAAAGAGAGAUAGUGGUGGAGCAGAGAGAGACAGGGGGAAGAGAGUAGAAAGCGAGAUAGUGGUGGAGCAGAGAGAUAGUAGAAAGAGAGAUAGUGGUGGAGCAGAGAGAGACAGGGGGAAGAGAGUAGAAAGAGAGAUAGUGGUGGAGCAGACUGCCUUACCUGGUUCACCAACUACUUUGCAGACAGAGUUCAGUGUGUCAAAUCGGAGGGCAUGUUGUCCAGUCCUCUGGCAGUCUCUAUGGGGGUGCCACAGGGUUCAAUUCUCGGGCCGACUCUUUUCUCUGUAUAUAUCAAUGAUGUUGCUCUUGCUGCGGGCGAUUCCCUGAUCCACCUCUAUGCA